Amphimedon queenslandica is the source of this 866-nucleotide long non-coding RNA. RefSeq lists it as uncharacterized. The record is from RefSeq and is a predicted model, not a curated record. NCBI's taxonomy places the organism in Eukaryota, Metazoa, Porifera, Demospongiae, Haplosclerida, Niphatidae. The transcript has 2 exons.
AAUGCUGCUAGCAACAUGUUGUCUAGUGUAUGGGGGCCUUGUGAAUUAUGAACAGGUAUAGCAGGAAGUGUAAUAAAAAUGGACACUGCUCUCCCAGUCUUAAUUGACAAAAUAGCCAUUCCCUGUUAUGUUCACAUGUUCAUACAGUACCCCAGAUCAAGGGUUUGAUUUAUGUGCUAAUCCAACAGAGCCUGGAGUUAAUGGAUGUAACAACAUUGGUUGGGAUGAACUGAUACUCUAUCCAUUUAUAUUAUAUGGAAUAUGGAUGGCAUACUAUGUACUAAUAGUCUUUUAUUGGAAGGAAAAGAUUAUAAAAGACUGAGAGAAAAUACAUGACAGCAUUCACAAUAAUGUCACAAGAGAAGAAAGGUGGUCUUAUAUAUUCAAUUACUAACUGUCUGGGACUAAAGUAUCAGAAACAAAUGUACUUUGUUGCUUACACAGUAAUGGGAUGCUAGUUAUAGUUAGUUAACUAAAAGUAAAUCUGGCCUAACUAAAAGGGUUUUAGUUUUAGUUAUAGUUAACUAAAACAACACUAUUUAUCGUAAGUAUAUAUAGCCACUACUGACUGUAGACAGAUUGACUGAUCAACUUUAUGUCAUUUUUAUUUACUAUUAUCUUGUUCACUACCUCUUCUUUAGGUUAGUGUAUUAAUUACAUUUUCUUUCUGGGGUUUGUCCUGGUUGCCAGUUACAAUGGAGCUACUUUCUAUAUCAAGGUUGUUGGGAAAGAAUAUUAUAAAAAUGAAGAAAAGAAAAAUGAAUGAAUUAUACAGUUCAUACUGAGUAGCUAAUAUGUCAUUUUGUUAUUAUGCCAGUGCAUCAUUGGAUUACAUGCAAGUUUAUUGAAAUGACUGCUAAAACUGA